GAGGAAAGGUUCCUUUUUUUUAGGGUACUCCUGGGAACAGAUCCAGUGGAGACGAGGUGGGGCCUGUAGCUCAG
Gossypium raimondii (Peruvian cotton) is the source of this 74-nucleotide non-coding RNA. The record is from the annotation of a RefSeq genome assembly. Lineage: Eukaryota; Viridiplantae; Streptophyta; Magnoliopsida; Malvales; Malvaceae.